GACGAAGGAUGCAAGCGUUAUCCGGAUUCAUUGGGUUUAAAGGGAGCGUAGGUGGCCUUAUAAGUCAGUGGUGAAAUCUCUGGGCUUAACCCAGAAAUUGCCAUUGGUACUGUAGGGCUUGAGUAUAGUUGCCGUUGGCGGAAUAUGACAUGUAGUGGUGAAAUACAUAGAGAUGUCAUAGAACACCGAUUGCGAAGGCAGCUGACGAAACUAUAACUGACACUGAGGCUCGAAAGUGCGGGGAUCAAACAGG
This 253-nucleotide ribosomal RNA is filed under the name uncultured bacterium. RNAcentral describes it as "partial 16S ribosomal RNA". It matches the Rfam family "Bacterial small subunit ribosomal RNA", at positions 524 to 776 of the family's 1533-position model. The record is from RNAcentral.